ACCACAUGGUUAAUUUAAUUUAAUAAAGUUAAAAAAAGUGAUGAAAUUAAACUUAUUGUGUUAAGAUUUUAAUUUUUUUUAUUAUACUAAAAUAAAAUAUGAAAAUAGUUAUUGUACCGAAUUUAUCAUUUUCGUAAUAAUUUUGUAGUAAAAAUAUACAAAAAGUGCUUGUAAAGCUAAGGGUACCUUAGCCUUAGAGGGGAUGCAUUUCAGAAAUCUGAUUUCAUUUAGCUGAAACCCUUUCUCUCUCUAAAACCAUUUGCCCUAAAAUUCUCUCUGACUUCUCUCUAUAAUUCCAAUACUUUGAACCGUUCAAUUUCUGAUUUGGUGUUGCCAAAUCAAUCCUGGCGUAGAGAGCUUCGAUUCAAACCGAACAUCUUCCGACUGGUAAGCCAUUUUCCCCCUUUUUCCUUCACUGUUCUUGAGCUAGGGCAUGCCACUUUGCUGGAUUCUUGUGCCUCAUGUGUUUUUCC
Molecule: long non-coding RNA, 473 nt
Filed under: Vigna radiata
Lineage: Eukaryota; Viridiplantae; Streptophyta; Magnoliopsida; Fabales; Fabaceae
Description: long non-coding RNA (VRAD_LNC007399)
Source: RNAcentral